Molecule: ribosomal RNA, 531 nt
Filed under: Thyllis philopotoides
Lineage: Eukaryota; Metazoa; Arthropoda; Insecta; Diptera; Acroceridae
Description: partial 16S ribosomal RNA
Rfam family: Bacterial large subunit ribosomal RNA (bases 395-531)
Source: RNAcentral
CAAAAACAUGUCUUAUUGAUUAUAAAUAUUAAGUCAGGCCUGCCCAAUGAUUAAUUUAAUGGCUGCAGUAAUUUAACUGUACAAAGGUAGCAUAAUAAUUAGUUUUUUAAUUGAGGACUAGAAUGAAUGGUUUUAUGAGAUAUUUACUUUAUUAAAUUAAUUGAUAUAAUUUUAUUUUUUAGUUAAAAAGCUAAAAUAUUUAUAUAAGACGAGAAGACCCUAUAGAUUUUGAUAAUUAUAUUUUAUAUUGUAAAUUAAGAAUUUAAAAUUAUUAUUUAUAUAUUUAUUUUAUUGGGGUGAUAGUAGAAUUUAAUUAACUUUUAUAGUAAAGAUAUACAUUAAUAUGUGAAUUAUUGAUCCAUUUUUGAUGAUUAUUAAAUUAAAUUACCUUAGGGAUAACAGCAUAAUUUAUUUGGAAAGUUCUUAUUAAUAAGUAAGUUUAUGACCUCGAUGUUGGAUUAAGAUAAAUUUUAGGAGCAUAAAUUUAUGUAUUAAGUCUGUUCGACUUUUAAAAUCUUACAUGAUCUGAGU